RNAcentral lists this long non-coding RNA (534 nucleotides) under Pan troglodytes (chimpanzee). RNAcentral describes it as "lncRNA (ENSPTRG00000053202.1)". Lineage: Eukaryota; Metazoa; Chordata; Mammalia; Primates; Hominidae. The record is from RNAcentral.
UGGGAUGGUGCUAUGGCAACAGUCUCCUUGGAGCUCACUGGAUCCUUAGAAUUAUUUUGUGAUGCUUGUUCUGCAUCUUGAAAUGACAACCUGUGCCUCUGGGACUCAGCUGCAAGGAAGACAAGUGGAAGGCAAGUGGACAUGUUUUUCUGUGUAUCCCAAAACAGGUAGCAGUGUCCUUGCAGUGCACUGGAUGGAUGGAUGAAGGCACUCUCCCAGGCUUCCAACUCUUGUGAUAUUGUACCUACUAAAUUAAAUGGUGGACCAGAGAGCCAGUGUGGCAUGAUGAAAAGCAGAGUCUCCAGAGAUGUGAUACUUGGGUCCAAAUGCUGGCACCACCACUUGAGGCAGAUGACCUGGCCUCGGGGGUCUCUGUUUCCUUGUCUGUAAUGCCUACUUCAUAGUUUUGUUAUGAGAAUGAAGUGGAUUAAUACUUCCGUGGUGCUUCACACUGUGCCUGGAACAUAGUAAGCCUGACGUAGGUAUCUUAAAUAGAGAUAUCACCAAAUAGAGUUGGGGAGAAGUUUACCUAGG